This 253-nucleotide ribosomal RNA is filed under the name uncultured bacterium. Its description in RNAcentral is "partial 16S ribosomal RNA". It matches the Rfam family "Bacterial small subunit ribosomal RNA", at positions 524 to 776 of the family's 1533-position model. The record is from RNAcentral.
UACGUAGGGAGCGAGCGUUAUCCGGAAUUAUUGGGCGUAAAGCGUGCGUAGGCGGCGUGUUAAGUCGAAUGUGAAAGCCCACAGCUUAACUGUGGAGGGUCAUUCGAAACUGGCAUGCUAGAGUACGGCAGAGGUUAGUGGAAUUCAACGUGUAGCGGUAAAAUGCGUAGAUAUAUUGAGGAACACCAGUGGCGAAGGCGGCUAACUGGACCGGAACUGACGCUGAGGCACGAAAGCGUGGGUAGCAAACAGG